This 425-nucleotide ribosomal RNA is filed under the name uncultured bacterium. RNAcentral's name for it is "bacterial SSU rRNA". It matches the Rfam family "Bacterial small subunit ribosomal RNA", at positions 354 to 796 of the family's 1533-position model. The record is from RNAcentral.
GUGGGGAAUCUUAGACAAUGGGCGCAAGCCUGAUCUAGCCAUGCCGCGUGAGCGAUGAAGGCCUUAGGGUUGUAAAGCUCUUUCAGGGGGGAAGAUAAUGACGGUACCCCCAGAAGAAGCCCCGGCUAACUCCGUGCCAGCAGCCGCGGUAAUACGGAGGGGGCUAGCGUUGUUCGGAAUUACUGGGCGUAAAGCGCACGUAGGCGGACCAGAAAGUCAGGGGUGAAAUCCCGGGGCUCAACCCCGGAACUGCCUUUGAAACUCCUGGUCUUGAGGUCGAGAGAGGUGAGUGGAAUUCCGAGUGUAGAGGUGAAAGUCGUAGAUAUUCGGAGGAACACCAGUGGCGAAGGCGGCUCACUGGCUCGAUACUGACGCUGAGGUGCGAAAGCGUGGGGAGCAAACAGGAUUAGAAACCCUUGUAGUCC